GUGGGCUGCACAGGGGAAGGAAGCAAUGGACGAGGAAGGAGGGACCACUGAAGAGGAGGGCCACAAAAAUCCCCUUCCUCUGUGCGGGUCCUGGUGUCGCUCGGCCUCCUGGCGCGGCUCAUAAAUGGAAGAAAUUGUUGAGCAGGUAAAUGGCAAAGUAGAUGAGAAGGCAGAGGACGGAGAGCGCCAGCAAAUGAAAAGAAAAAGCGCCUCCCAGCAGCGCGAUGAGGAAGAAAAAGAAGAGAAAACGAAAGAUAAAAGCAAAUACUCCAGUGGCCUCCGUCGUCUCCAGCUUGGAAGCGGGUGGUGGGGAUCGGCUACGGCCAGUUGUUCCCCUUCCCCGGCUGCCUUCUGCUCACCCCCAGAAAAACCUUCCCGUCCAGAAGAAGCAUGGGCACGGAUGUUCCUCCGGUUCCCCCCCCCACCCCCCCGGACUCGGUCCCUCAACUCUGCUCGGACUCACACAGGUGACAGGAGAGAGGUACUGCCGCGCCCAGCAGGAGGCGCUGCACGCCUCGCAAACCUACCUGUGUCUGCUGGCGUCCACCAGGAACCACCGGGCCCUGCACGACCUUUACCACGCCAAGGGAGAGCGCAGCACCCGGGAGGCGGCCGGCCUGGUGGGGCUCAGGUUGCCCACUCAGCCCGGAGGCAAAGGCUGGGAGAAGUGAGCCACGGCGAGGGGGGGAAAAAGGGACAACAAAGCAGUGGACUGCACCUGCUAAGCUGCGGGAAGAAAUACAAUUUUGUCGCGCUCUACCUUCCACAUUUUUCAUCCGAUUAAAAGCGUUCCAACUUCAAACUGUUCAGCCUAUCCGGGAAUGGCGGGCUUUCCCCCUGACAAAUUACAAAAACUCCUAGAUUUCCCAGAAUUCCAGGUUUUCCGGGAGAUUUUUCCCAUUCAAAAUUAAUUGGCCAUUUUUCAAACUUCAACCAUUUCUACAAUUUUCAACCGAUUCAAACAAUUCCACCUUCAACAUAUUCCACUCAUCCUGGAAAUUCAAACUACCCUUUUUCCAAGUUCAAAAAAAUCCAGGAUUUUCCAGAAUUCCUGUUUUUCUUAAGCCCUAUUUCCACCUCCUUCCACAUUUUUCAACCGUUCCACCGUCAGAACAUUCCUCUUAAUUAGACAAAAUACGAAGUUGUUUUUUGAACUGAAAAAAUUCCAGGUUUUCCCAAAAUUCCGUAAUACCAUUUCUCACUUCAACAUUUCUCGACCGAUUUGAAAAAUUCCAACACCAGACCAUUCAAGAUUUUUACCAUUUUCAAAUUUCUCCUGAAAGUCCCACAUUUUGGGGAAAUUCCCCUUGAAGUCAAGGAGACAUUCUUCAAAUUUCCACAUUUUUCAUCUGAUUCAAACUGUUCCAACUUCAAAAUAUUCAGCUUGUUCAUGAAUGAUGUGCUCUACUUCAACAAUUCAAAAAAAAUAAUCCCGGAUUUCCCAUAUUUGCUUUUAUUUUUUCAUUUUUCCCAUUCAAAAUUAAUUGGCCAUUUUUCAAACUUCAACCAUUUCUACAAUUUUCAACCGAUUCAAACAAUUCCACCUUCAACAUAUUCCACUCAUCCUGUAAAUUCAUACUACCUUUUUCCAAAUUAAAAAAAAUCCAGGAUUUUCCAGAAUUCCUGAUUUUCUUAAGCCCUAUUUCCACCUCCUUCCACAUUUUUCAACCGUUCCACCGUCAAAACAUUCCUCUUAAUUAGACAAAAAACCAAGUUGUUUUUUGAACUGGAAAAAUUCCCGGUUUUCCCAAAAUUCCGUAAUACCAUUUCUCACUUCAACAUUUCUCGACCGAUUUGAAAAAUUCCAACACCAGACCAUUCAAGAUUUUUACCAUUUUCAAAUUUCUCCUGAAAGUCUCACAUUUUGGGGAAAUUCCCCUUGAAGUCAAGGAGACAUUCUUCAAAUUUCCACAUUUUUCAUCUGAUUCAAACUGUUCCAACUUCAAAAUAUUCAUCUUGUUCAUGAAUGAUGUGCUCUACUUCAACAAUUCAAAAAAAAUAAUCCCGGAUUUCCCAUAUUUGCUUUUAUUUUUUCAUUUUUCCCAUUCAAAAUUGGUUGGCCAUUUUUCAAACUUCCACCAUUUCUACAUUUUUCAACCAAUUCAAACCAUUCCACCUUCAACAUAUUCCACUCAUUCCGGAAAUUUAAACUACCCUUUUUCCAAGUUCAAAAAAAUUCCAGGAUUUUCCAGAAUUCCUGUUUUUUUUAAAGCCCGAUUUCCACACUUUU
This is an RNA transcript of Entelurus aequoreus (snake pipefish), 2230 nucleotides long. It is a transcript of the gene named protein FMC1 homolog, with no coding region annotated. NCBI's taxonomy places the organism in Eukaryota, Metazoa, Chordata, Actinopteri, Syngnathiformes, Syngnathidae. The record is from RefSeq and is a predicted model, not a curated record. The transcript is spliced from 3 exons.